AUGAAAAAAUGGUUAUGCAUAUGGUUGUUGUAACCUUGGCUUUAGAGGUUUUUUUUUAAAAAAAAAAUGAAUUUUUUACUUUUCACCAAAAAGUAUUUCAUAAAUUACUUUUAACCCAAAACUAUUUGUUUCUUUUUUACUUUUAAUCCAAAACUUUUUAUCUUUUGCAAUUGAUCCUCACAACUUUUUUUACUUUCAACUUUGUUUCUUUAUAGUUUUCAUUUUCCGCAAAUUUUUCACUUUAUGUUUCGUUCUAAUUUUUGUGACUUAACACAUCGCAGCGUGCGUCUUUAGUUUAACGUUUUUACGUUUCGUUCUAAAUUUUGUGAGUUCACACGACGCAACGUGCGUGUGUGGGUGAACGUUUUUAAAUCGUCUAUUUUUAUCCCGUUCGACAGGUUCAACAUAUUGUGCAGGUCCUAAAUCGAGUUAGUUAUAACUAAAGAAUCCCCGCCGCAUUGCGGCGGGUCGUAAUUCUAGUUUCUUUUUAUUUUUCUACCCAAAGUUAAAUUAGAUUACUCACAGAAUUAGAAUCAGCAAAAAUAUGAGUAAUUAUUUUUUGUAAAAAAAUAAAAAAUGCUGCA
This 584-nucleotide long non-coding RNA is filed under the name Helianthus annuus (common sunflower). RNAcentral describes it as "hypothetical non coding rna". Lineage: Eukaryota; Viridiplantae; Streptophyta; Magnoliopsida; Asterales; Asteraceae. The record is from RNAcentral.